This 4574-nucleotide long non-coding RNA is filed under the name Triticum aestivum (bread wheat). RNAcentral's name for it is "long non-coding RNA (TAES_LNC022521)". Lineage: Eukaryota; Viridiplantae; Streptophyta; Magnoliopsida; Poales; Poaceae. The record is from RNAcentral.
UUUAGUUAGUGCGCGGCCACUUUUUAGAUUUUAGGAAGGUUCAUUGUCCUCUAGAUUUUAGAGUACAAUUCUGCAAUAUCUUCCUCAUCUUCCUCCAGCGACCAAAACUUCGACUACAGAAUUGUCUUCCUCCAGCGACCACAAUACAGGUACCGUCGAGCAAUCGAUCAACAUCAAGUAAGCUUCAUCUGCACGAAAUUAUAGAUCAUACCUAUUAAUGGUUGAAUUAUAGUCUAGGCAGUCCUGGUCUACAUUUUUUUGCCAUUACCUCCAAAGGUUUAUUUAUCUAGAAUCAUAUAGGCAUGGGUUCAUGUCUUAAUAGAAGGCCAGAAUCAUACUAAAACUAUGACAUAUCCAAGUGGGAUUACUUGCUGCGAUAUAGAGAAGCAUAUAUGAUGCAUAAGAUGUUCAUAUUAUAGAUUAUACCAAUUAUUAUAGAUAAGAUCUAUUAAUGGAUCAAUAAUACUUAAAUUAUAUUGUAGGUAGUGCUAAUCUAAAAAGGUUUCGCAUGUUAGCUCACAAGUUUCAUCACGAACAAACAAAUACAGAGAAACAGACAUAGAUGGCUUCCAUAUUUGAUCAGCCUCAGAUGCUAUAGUGGGUUUCUGUCCCCAUGGCAUCAGCUCCAUCUGAAACAAACAUAAAUUAAGACCAAUUGUCAAUAAAAUUGCAUUGAUUCAUCUACUUUUAUUUCAUAUAAUCAUGUACAGAAGGUUAAUGCCAUGGAUGUUGCUUCCAGUUUUCACGUUAAGAUAAUAUACUAUAGAAGUCUCAAAAACAAAUGGGAUUGCUUGCAUGUAAUUAUAUUACUUACUUUACUAAUCAACAUUCUGUUCUUAUAUUUAUAGGGCCUCAAAGAUUAUGGAACAUACACCGUUGAAUGCAUUGACUACACGAAACGAGACAUGGACAAUCAAAGUCAAAGUUUUAAGACUGGGAUGCAAUUAACUUAUCGACUAAUGAGCUCAUUAGCACAGAUAUGAUUUUACUGGACAGAAAGGUGCAAGCAUAUAUAAUGUCUCUUCAAUUUAUGCUUUCUAAAGUUUGCUGAUGUUUUCUCUUUAUGUAGGGCGAUGCGAUCCAUGCUUCUAUUGGGAGCACACUGGUCAAUAAAUUUAAGUCAAAGAUUAAAGAGGACUUCAUAUACAUAAUUAAGACCUUCAAAGUCUGGGAGUAUGAAAAAUACCGACCAUUGAAGAACAAUCUCAAAAUCAGUUUUCUUUAUGAUACAGUAGUGAAGGAAGUGGAUGAAGGAAAAUCCAAGUUUUUCGAUUACCACUUCGAAUUUGCUGAUGGUGAUACCUUGGAUAGUAGGGUGAAUAUUGAUAAGACAGUGCUCAGGUAUGAUCAUAAUCAAUAUCGAAGAACAAGCAUUGGUGAACUAGCCAGAUAUUAAAUAUGAUUAUGUGCAGAUGUCAUUGGAUUGCUUACUGCAAUGAAACAAUAGAGCAAGUACAAAAAAAAUAAAGGGACGGGCAUGGCGCAAACUUCAAACAUCCGUGAGAUUGAAAUCCUUUUACUAGAGUAAGUGAUUAUAUUACUAUAGUUUUUUUUGAAUUACAUAGAUGAUCUUUAUAUCACUUUUUCAUGAUUAAAUUCAUGCAGUGAUGAAAAGAUCCGGAUCACGCUAUGGGGUGAUAUUUUAGCAAAUAUGGUGAAUGAAAGACUUCCGCACAAACAAACAGUAGUGAUUGUCACUUCAAAUUUGGUCAGAAAAUUCAAUGGUGAGGACUAUAAUCCCUGUGUGUGAACUCAAAUCCAAAUUACUGACUUUCUUACCAGGGCUAUCACUAUGCACAACAAAUGCAUCUAAAGUCUUCCUCAGCCCUGAAAUUCCAGAGACAAACCAAAUUAUUGAGAGGUAUGGUAUAUAUAUAAUAAUGCAAUUAUAUAUGUUUUUGAAGUUACAAGUUUAUGUGGACAUGUUGUAAUCUAUUAUAGGUAUCGUGAAAGAGAUGUUAUUCCAACAAUGAUUGGAAUCAACGAAAGCACCCAACGAACAAUUGAGGAGCAAAUGUUGUACAACAGAAAAACAUUGAAGGAAAUUAUAGAACUGCGAUAUGCUGAUGUUAAAAGAAAGGUUUCUCUCUAACCUUGAUCAGCAUACUGUCGUGUCUUUAUUGUACAUUAUUAUAUAAUCUCAUGUUUUCUCCUUAACCGGAAUUUGUAUGCACAACAAAAGCAACGAUUGAUGAUAUUAUAACAGAUAAAGGGUGGUGGUACAUGGCAUGCAAACUUUCCUUUUGUGCUGUAAAAAAGGAACAUGAUAACUAUAUUUGCACUUCCUGUCGUGAAGUAGAUGAAAAUCCACACAUGUGGUGAGCAUAUUGUGAACUAGAUUGUAUUUGGUGCCAUUUGUUUUAAUAAUAUACCAGUAAUAACUUGACAAUAUCAUACUAGGUACCUACUUAAACUCAAGGUACGCGAUGACACGGAACCACAACUUUUGUGGUGUUUAAUGAGGUAGCAAAGAGUCUUUUAGGCAACAUGUCUGCAUCGACCCUAUUAGAGCAGGAGGGAUUCAACAACACAGUACCAGAUGUUAUUCAAACCCUUUAUGGCAGAACACUCAUAUUUCGGCUGAAGUAAAAUUCAAGGAAUCUACAAGAGUGUAUGGAAAAUUUUAAAGUGAGUUUCACUUUUGAAGUUGAUGACAAACUUGAGAUGGAAUAUUCAAAUGAAAUGGUUGAAGAGGUAUGCACAUGCACAUUUCAGUAUUUUAAAUGGCUUAUAAAACUAUAAUACAAGUACACUCUUUAUAGAGCAUACUGGAAAGGCAAGACACACAAGGUUCUUCAAAUUUGGCUAUGCACAAGUCCCAUAACGAGGUAUUCCCACUAAUUAAUGGUUUUGCUCUGACAAGUGUGCAAUUUUUUCUUUAAAAUGUUAAAAAAAAUAUUUUUAUUCUUAUAGGUGAACCACUCCUCCAAGAAUGCAACAAAUGAUGAGAAGAAGGAUAUGUGCAGAAAGGAAACCUCAAUAUCCUCUAACCAAAAGGAACAACGCAGGACAAAGAUACAAAAGUCUAGCAAAAGAUAUGAAAAAGAUGUGAGACCGUUUGCUUCCAGAAAUAGCAGAAAAUCAGUUGUUAAAAUUGAAGCUCCUGAUGACGAGGUAACAAAUUUAAAACAUUAUCUCCCUGUGUAUGCAUUGAUAAUUAAUUAUGGCCUAUUUAUUUAUGACAUAAUACAACGCACGGGAAGAGCCAAAAACUUUUUCACAGAAGAUAAAAGGAGAGACAAAACAAAAGAGAUGUAAACAAGAUUUCAAAAGAAAGGCUUCGCAAAAAAGGUUCGUAUAGAGAAAUUCUAUACUGAGAUCCUCUUUCAAAUUACUUUCCCUCAUUACACACACACACACACACACACACACACACACACACACACACACACAUACUACUACUACUACUAUUUUAUGACAUCGCUGAAAAAACAGGAAAAUAUAUUUGAAAAGGAGGUAGCAAACAUUCAAGCUACAGGUUCAGAUAUAAUUACCAUAGAAGAUGAUUCAGAUAAAGACUGCAGACAAAACAAUACACAUGUCAGAAGGCCUACCAACAAGAAACUCAGAAGAGUUGUGAACAAAAACAAAUUCAAUAGUGAGGUCAAAGAAACUGCAGAUCCGAGAUAUAACAAGGAUUUCAGAAACGACAACCACAGCGAGGGAUAUAAAAAUGUUAAGACCAAGGUUGCUUCCGCGAAGUUCAAAAAAACAAUACAUAACUUCAGCUGAAUACAUUCCACCUUAAAUAUCUAUUAACAAUAUGCUCUAUGAUGUUCAUUUUUAAUGCGUUGUUAAACUACCGCUAUCUUACAGGUACAAGAGGAAGAAAAUGACACAAAUGAUGAUUCCGCCAAUGAAGAAACCAAUAAUGAGGUACCAUCAAAUAAAAGGAAAAUGAUUUAAUUUUAAAUAUAUUAUUUCCAAAAUAUACAAUCAUUGGUAUGAAAUAAUAAUCCAUCAGUGUAUCGGUCAUUUCCCACUUUGGCCUAAUAUUAUGUAUGCAUUUCAUCUUAUAUAUGCAUUACAUAAUACAUUGUUAAAUUUCCACAUUAUAUCUUACAGGUACAAGAGGAAGGAAAUGAUACAGAUGGUGAUUUCACAAGUGAAGAAAUCAAUAGUGAGGUAAUAUCAACAAAAAUAACAAACACAAUUAUUUUAAACACUACCAUCCUCAUACUAAAGCUGGAUCAAGGAAAAUUGCAGACCUGCGGGAGAUGAAAUCCAUCACCGAAUCAAUUGCACAGACCACAACAUCAACGACACCGUGCAGAUCGACCAUCUCGCCUCCUAACUGGCGCACCAGAUCCCCAUUUACCAACCCACAGGAGGUGUACGAGGAGGAAAACUAGCCGCCGUCGAUGGGCAACCUGUGGAAGCACCAGGUGCGGGGGUGGCUUCAGGAUAGGACGAAUGCAGAUGGGAGCUAUCCAGCAGUAGCAAAUUUUCACUGAAGAAGAAAAAAAGGGAAGAAGAAAGGGGAUCGGCCAAAAACAUUAUCACUUGUGUGAAAAAAGAACAUCCGGAGAAGUCAAGAAGACUACGGAAUAGGCAAGUGAAGAGUAAUGUUGGUG